AACGCGUAGGAAUCUAUCCAGUAGCGGGGAUAAGCCAGAGAAAUUUGGUCUAAUACCCCAUACGCCCUUCGGGGGAAAGCAGGGGAUCGUUCGGACCUUGGCACUAUUGGAUGAGCCUGCGUGAGAUUAGCUAGUUGGUGAGGUAAUGGCUCACCAAGGCGACGAUCUCUAGCUGGUCUGAGAGGAUGAUCAGCCACACUGGAACUGAGACACGGUCCAG
Molecule: ribosomal RNA, 220 nt
Filed under: uncultured bacterium
Lineage: Bacteria
Description: partial 16S ribosomal RNA
Rfam family: Bacterial small subunit ribosomal RNA
Source: RNAcentral